AUUGAACGCUGGCGGAAUGCUUUACACAUGCAAGUCGAACGGCAGCACGGGGGCAACCCUGGUGGCGAGUGGCGAACGGGUGAGUAAUGUAUCGGAACGUGCCCAGUCGUGGGGGAUAACGUAGUGAAAAUUACGCUAAUACCGCAUACGAUCUAUGGAUGAAAGCGGGGGAUCGCAAGACCUCGCGCGAUUGGAGCGGCCGAUAUCAGAUUAGGUAGUUGGUGGGGUAAAGGCUCACCAAGCCGACGAUCUGUAGCUGGUCUGAGAGGACGACCAGCCACACUGGAACUGAGACACGGUCCAGACUCCUACGGGAGGCAGCAGUGGGGAAUUUUGGACAAUGGGCGAAAGCCUGAUCCAGCCAUUCCGCGUGCAGGAUGAAGGCCUUCGGGUUGUAAACUGCUUUUGUACGGAACGAAACGGCGAGCUCUAAUACAGUUUGCUAAUGACGGUACCGUAAGAAUAAGCACCGGCUAACUACGUGCCAGCCGCCGCCGCGG
RNAcentral lists this ribosomal RNA (500 nucleotides) under uncultured bacterium. RNAcentral describes it as "partial 16S ribosomal RNA". It matches the Rfam family "Bacterial small subunit ribosomal RNA", at positions 30 to 523 of the family's 1533-position model. The record is from RNAcentral.